Molecule: long non-coding RNA, 598 nt
Filed under: Nicotiana tabacum (common tobacco)
Lineage: Eukaryota; Viridiplantae; Streptophyta; Magnoliopsida; Solanales; Solanaceae
Description: long non-coding RNA (NTAB_LNC017308)
Source: RNAcentral
GCCUGAGCAGUCUAAAAGGGUUUCGCCAUUUGAAUCCAAUUAAUGGCAGGACUUCUCAACAGAAAUAAGGACGCAACAAAGCAACUGGAACAAUCAAGGUCACCGAACCAACCACCAUUUUCGAGAUAACAAUUGUUCUUUGUUUGAGAAGUUGAAACAGGUUUAAUCCAAGAUAACCGUGCAAGAAGCAGGUGUCACCCAAAGAAGAAAGUACAUGAGUACAAGAAACAGUUCGGCAAUAAGGAAUCCACUCGAAAGGUAAGUUUCCACGAAAUUCUCUUUUACCUUUUACUAAAACAAGAAAAUUCAAAAAAGGGGUGUCAGUUAGUAUCCUCGAACUUUCCCUUUAGUCAGCAUUAGGGCUCCAACCCUGAACUGAACUUUUUCCAUUUAGUCAGCAUUAGGGCUCCGACCCUAAACUGAACAUUCCCUUUAAGUCAGCAUUAGGGUUUUAAACCCUAAACUGAACUUUUUCUAUUUAGUCAGCAUUAGGGUUUUAAACCCUAAACUGAACUCUUCCCUUUAGUCAGCAUUAGGGUUUUAAACCCUAAACUGAACUUUUUCCCUUUUAGUCAGCAUUAGGGUUCUAAAACCCUAA